UCGGACUUACAAUACUUACGGGACUAGCUUCGUUCGUCUCCUCGGAGUCCACGCGUCCGCAGCGAUGGCCAGAGGCCUGUGGCGCAGGCAGCUGCGGACAAAUCACAACCCAGCAGCGCACUCCUGAAGGUUGGACGCGGAUGAUGGCUGGGCGUGGGGGCAGAGCCUUCAGCCUGAAGAGGCCAAGCGUCAUGAGGGGUGGGCAUGAGGCGGUGUGCAAUACCCCCAUACAUUCGACCACGGCCCUUCAGCUGCCUCACCACUGGCCCGCCCAGCGGCCCAGGUGGGCGAAGCUCUCAGGGAGUUUCACAAGUUGACGUGAUUUACAUGCACGGAUUGAGCCUCGUCCAUAAGCCCCUUCCUAAUUCUUCGUUUCGACUUGGUGGCCUCCUGACCGCAAGGUGCCGUGCGCAAAACUGUCAGUGGACCGUGCGCGUUACCCUUCAUCGCCUGUUAUCGACGUGCUUGAUAAACCGCAACACAAGCGAACAUGACGUUGGAGAGCCGCCUGUCCUAGCCUGGUAACGGCGCAUCCAAAUAAUAAUAUAAC
RNAcentral lists this long non-coding RNA (550 nucleotides) under Chlamydomonas reinhardtii. RNAcentral's name for it is "long non-coding RNA (CREI_LNC000141)". Lineage: Eukaryota; Viridiplantae; Chlorophyta; Chlorophyceae; Chlamydomonadales; Chlamydomonadaceae. The record is from RNAcentral.